Molecule: ribosomal RNA, 253 nt
Filed under: uncultured bacterium
Lineage: Bacteria
Description: partial 16S ribosomal RNA
Rfam family: Bacterial small subunit ribosomal RNA
Source: RNAcentral
UACGUAGGGGGCAAGCGUUGUCCGGAUUUAUUGGGCGUAAAGAGCGUGUAGGCGGCCAGACAGGUCCGUUGUGAAAACUAGAGGCUUAACCUCUAGACGUCGAUGGAAACCGCCUGGCUAGAGUCCGGAAGAGGAGAAUGGAAUUCCUGGUGUAGCGGUGAAAUGCGCAGAUAUCAGGAAGAACACCCGUGGCUAAGGCGGUUCUCUAGUACGGUACUGACGCUGAGACGCGAAAGCGUGGGGAGCGAACAGG